AUUUUGGUACCAUCAAAGGUCGGGAAGUGUCCUUAAAUUGAUCUCCAAAUUCAGCAAUUUUGUUCAUUUUUUAAAUGUUCUGGUGGAAAAUGAUGACAGAAGAAGAGAUGCUUAAUCAAAUGGACUACAUUUUGAUACCAUCGAAUGUCGGGAAGUGCCCUUAAAUUGAUCUCCAAUUUCAGCAAUUUUGAACAUUUUUGAAAAGUUCUGGUGGAAAAUGAUGACAGAGGAAGAGUUACUUAAUUAAAUGGAACUCAUUUUGAUACUAUUAAGGGUCGGGAAUUGCUCUAAAAGUGAUCUCCAAUUUUAGUCAUUUUGUUCAUUUUUGAAAAGGUUUGGUACAAAAUGAUGACAGAGGAAGAGUUACUUAAUUAAAUGGACUUCAUUUUGAUACCAUCAAGGGUUGGGAAGUGCCCUUAAAUUGAUCUCCAAUUUUAGCAAUUUUGUACAUUUUUGAAAUGUUCUGGUGGAAAAUGGUCUGUAUCUUGCGUUUCCCUGGCCCGAUUUUUAUUUUCUUUUCUUCAGAUAACAGAGGAAGUGUUACUUAAUUAAAUGAACUUCAUUUUGAUACCCUCAAGGGUCGGGAAGUACCCUAAAAUUGAUCUCCAAUUUCUGCAAGUUUGCUCAUUUUUGAAAAGUUGAGGUCGAAAACGAUAUUGGGAAUAUUGGGAAUAAUGAUUUGCAGU
Molecule: long non-coding RNA, 686 nt
Organism: Dalotia coriaria
Lineage: Eukaryota; Metazoa; Arthropoda; Insecta; Coleoptera; Staphylinidae
Exons: 4
Source: RefSeq, a predicted model, not a curated record